Molecule: ribosomal RNA, 371 nt
Filed under: uncultured bacterium
Lineage: Bacteria
Description: bacterial SSU rRNA
Rfam family: Bacterial small subunit ribosomal RNA
Source: RNAcentral
GAGUUUGAUCUUGGCUCAGGACGAACGCUGGCUGCGUGCUCAACACAUGCAAGUCGAACGCUGAAGCCUGAUGCUUGCACCGGGUGGAUGAGUGGCGAACGGGUGAGUAACACGUGAGUAACCCUACCCCUGACUUCGGGAUAAGCCCGGGAAACUGGGUCUAAUACCGGAUACGACUGCCGGACGCAUGUCUGGUGGUGGUAAAGUUUUUUCGGUUGGGGAUGGGCUCGCGGCCUAUCAGUUUGUUGGUGAGGUAAUGGCUCACCAAGACGACGACGGGUAGCCGGCCUGAGAGGGCGACCGGCCACACUGGGACUGAGACACGGCCCAGACUCCUACGGGAGGCAGCAGGUGGGGAAUAUUGCACAAGU